Molecule: ribosomal RNA, 253 nt
Filed under: uncultured bacterium
Lineage: Bacteria
Description: partial 16S ribosomal RNA
Rfam family: Bacterial small subunit ribosomal RNA
Source: RNAcentral
UACGAAGGGGGCUAGCGUUGCUCGGAAUCACUGGGCGUAAAGCGCACGUAGGCAGAUUGCUAAGUCAGGGGUGAAAUCCUGGAGCUCAACUCCAGAACUGCCUUUGAUACUGGCGAUCUUGAGUCCGGGAGAGGUGAGUGGAACUGCGAGUGUAGAGGUGAAAUUCGUAGAUAUUCGCAAGAACACCAGUGGCGAAGGCGGCUCACUGGCCCGGUACUGACGCUGAGGUGCGAAAGCGUGGGGAUCAAACAGG